This 420-nucleotide ribosomal RNA is filed under the name uncultured bacterium. Its description in RNAcentral is "bacterial SSU rRNA". It matches the Rfam family "Bacterial small subunit ribosomal RNA", at positions 165 to 610 of the family's 1533-position model. The record is from RNAcentral.
AAUACCGCAUAAGCUCGAGAGAGGGAAAGCAGCAAUGCGCAGAGGGAGGGGUCCGCGGUCGAUUAGCUUAGUUGGUGAGGUAAUGGCUCACCAAGGCUGUGAUCGAUAUGCCGGCCUGAGAGGGCACACGGCCACACUGGCACUGAAACACGGGCCAGACUCCUUACGGGAGGCAGCAGUGGGGAAUCUUGCACAAUGGGGGAAACCCUGAUGCAGCGACGCCGCGUGAGCGAUGAAGCCCUUCGGGGUGUAAAGCUCUUUCGACGGGAACGAUAAUGACGGUACCUGGCGGAAGCAAGCUGCGGCUAACUACCGUGCCAGCAGCCGCGGUAAUACGUAGGCAGCAAGCGUUGUUCGGAGUUACUGGGCGUAAAGGGUGCGUAGGCGGUCCUAUAAGUAUGGUGUGAAAUCUCCCGGUUC